Molecule: ribosomal RNA, 253 nt
Filed under: uncultured bacterium
Lineage: Bacteria
Description: partial 16S ribosomal RNA
Rfam family: Bacterial small subunit ribosomal RNA
Source: RNAcentral
UACGUAGGGGGCAAGCGUUAUCCGGAUUUACUGGGUGUAAAGGGAGCGUAGACGGCAGAGCAAGUCUGAAGUGAAAGCCCGCGGCCCAACUGCGGGACUGCUUUGGAAACUGCCCGGCUAGAGUGCUGGAGAGGUAAGCGGAAUUCCAUGUGUAGCGGUGAAAUGCGUAGAUAUAUGGAGGAACACCGGUGGCGAAAGCGGCUCUCUGGCCUGUAACUGACACUGAGGCUCGAAAGCGUGGGGAGCAAACAGG